UCCUACGGGAGGGCCAGCAGUGGGGARKAUUGGACAAUGGGCGAAAGCCUGAUCCAGCCAUGCCGCGUGUGUGAAGAAGGCUCUAGGGUUGUAAAGCACUUUCAGUAGGGAGGAAUGGUUGUUAAUUAAUACUUAACAAUUUUGACGUUACCUACAGAAGAAGCACCGGCAAACUCCGUGCCACA
RNAcentral lists this ribosomal RNA (185 nucleotides) under uncultured marine bacterium. RNAcentral describes it as "partial small subunit ribosomal RNA". It matches the Rfam family "Bacterial small subunit ribosomal RNA", at positions 337 to 512 of the family's 1533-position model. The record is from RNAcentral.